GACAACCAUUUUACUUUCUAACUUUCCUUGCUAAACAGAUAUAGUUUGAGGACAGCGUAAGAAGAACAACACCAACAUUAUGACAUCUCUUCACAAAAUCUGUCACUCGCCAAUAUCACAGAGCACUAUUAUGACAAGUUGUAUGAUCAUCAUUGCUGUUCUGAUCAGGUCUUCCCUAAGUCAGUUCGUGUGUCCGGAAAUGUUUGGAAUGUUUCAGCAUCCGGACAACUGUGAUAUGUUCUAUGUUUGCAACUACGGCAUACCUUAUCAACGUACCUGUCCAACCGGUCUUCUGUUUGAUAUCAACCUUGGAGUUUGCCGGCAUUCCGUACAGGUGCACUGCUUUAACGAGACUCAUCAACUCACAGCAGGGUUUACGUGUCCCACCCCAAUUGGGAUAUAUACCGACCCAACGUCUUGUGAGCAUUUUUACUUGUGUGCUAACGGAAGGGGUUUUCGUCAGAAAUGUCCAUUUGGCUUGAUAUUCGACGGUGUCGUGUGUAACUGGAAAAAAGACAACAGUUGUACUCCGACUUGGAAGAGUAGUUUGCGGGAUGGAAUCAAUAUUGAUACGAAACCGAACGAUCCUAGUCGUAGAUCACGAGUUGUGUCGCCGAAAAAGAGCUCGGAGAAGCUAGUUCCAUCGACUACAGACGAACAUCAGCGAAAUCAGGAUGGUGUUAGUUUGCUAACGAGUACGGAGGGAAACCGAAUAACUGAUGAGUUUGAGAGGAAUAGAAAGCAGAUGCGUAAUAAGUCAGAUCAAAGUACUGAAAUGGGGAAUUUAACAGAAAAUAAUCAGGUACAACAGCAACGAAAAGGAAACUCUAAUUUGGAACGGUCUAGAGAGGAAGAAAAAACAGUAAUAGGAAAGGCAAAAGUUAAAAAUGUAGAAAAAGCAGAAGAGGAAGGGAAGGAAAAUAAUGAAAACGAUGGGAAUAAAGCAAGAGGUAGAUAUUUAAAAGAAUAUCUGGCGAGAGAGGAAAAGCGACGAAAGUUUUUGAAAGAGUUGGAAAAGAAGAGAUCAGAACUGUGGGAGAGACAGCAGCAAUUGAGGAGAAAACUACUGAGGCAGCAUCAACUGCAACAGAGAAAAUUAUUCAUUCUGAGACAGAAACAGCAGCAGCAACUAUUGCAGCAACGACAACAACUACAGCAAUUGCAAGAAAAGAAGGAAGACCAACAACAACAACAUCAAAACGGAUCAGUUCCACAAUUUCAGCAACACGAAGGACACAAACAACACCAAGAUCAACAACAACAACCACAACAAAAAGAAGAAGAAGAACAACAACAACAACUGCAAAAAGAACAACAACAACUGCAAAAAGAACAACAACAACUGCAAAAAGAACAACAAUUGCUCGAAAAUGAAGAACAUCAGCGGCAGCAGCAUCAACAGGAAAAACAAGAACAAAGCACAGCGAGGGAUAGAAAUCUGAAAGCCAAUGAGAUCAGGGAUAUCUGGAGUGAAUCUGACCAAAGUAACAGUUCAAAGACAGCGUGGAAACCGAAUUCCAGCAAAGGGCGUAGCCACUCAGAAAAGGGUUUGUAUCCUUCUCUCUUUCAUUCAUCUGUCAGCAAUCAGAUUUUCCUCGUGAACCACCGAAUUAAACCAAACUACACAAACGACAAUAUGGACGACGGCGCUAUCGUCAAAGACAGCCAAAGCAGCAACAGUAAUGCCAGCGAAAGCAACAAUAAUAACAUUAAUAGCAACGGUUUUAACAAGGCUGUAACUUCAGGAAACGCCAGAUAGAAAGAAAAAAAAAAUAAUGAAAAGAAACUCCCAUGCGCGCACACACAGAGACACAGUCUCUCUCUCUCUCCCUGUCUCUCUCUCCUUGUCUCUCUCUCACAUACACGCACACAAACACAAACACACACAAUGUGAAUUCAAUAUCCUACAAUUAAGAAACGACAUAUCUUAUCUGAUUUACAUCUUCUACAAUUUCAUCUGAGGAAGUGACAUUUGUAAAUAGCGGAAAAUAAGGGUAACAACAACAACAACAACAACAACAAUAGCAGCAACAUUAAAGAACAACAGCUGUGCGGACUAAAGUUCCAGUUAUUUUAACAUUGAAUACACAACAGUGCUUCGAUUAUUGCAUAAAUAUACCAAUAUACGAACUCAUGUUAGUACAAUUCGCAAUUAUUGUAGUAACUUAUUUAUUCCUGUGACCAGAAGAAUGAUUAAAAAAAAAGAAAGACAACAAAUAAUAAAAUAAAAAACAAACAAACUGUGAACCAUUAAACAGAAAUAUUAAUUUGCUGUUUACACAUAAUCUAUGUAAAUUUAUAAUAUAUUUUGUAUAUAACCAAAAAUGGCAUUCCAGUUCUUUCUGUUCUGGAGAAUGAUUAACCAGCUCUUCGAGAAUAUUGUUUCCAUAAAAUAGCUUUGUCAUUUUCCUGUUGUAAUAAAAUACUGAAAAUAUUUUAUACGACCACCAUUUUAAAACAAGUGUUUCUUUUGUCUUUAUACAAUACGGCAUCUGAAUGUUAUAGACCAUAGAGUUCUUUGAGUGAACUAUUUGAAAUAUAAUUCUGUGGAAUAUGAACCUAAAUUGCAAAUAUAUUUUAAAUAACAUUAUGAAAUAAGCUCGUGCCUGGGGUUUUGAUUAUCGAAUUAAUCACUUCACUUUACUCAGAGCAACAGGAGUAAAUUUUUGCUCUCAAACAAGAAAUUAAUGUUGUAAAUUUUGACACAACAAACUUUUAUACAAAUUUUCUUGCUACCAAUUAUUUGAUAUUUGAUCCAAAUCCUUAAAUUAAUGCUUAGUUCU
RNAcentral lists this unclassified non-coding RNA (2783 nucleotides) under Octopus sinensis (East Asian common octopus). Its description in RNAcentral is "putative uncharacterized protein DDB_G0274435, transcript variant X1". Lineage: Eukaryota; Metazoa; Mollusca; Cephalopoda; Octopoda; Octopodidae. The record is from RNAcentral.